AACUUGGCUUUUACUCACUGUUGUCAUUGUCUUUGCCCAAGGUAUAUGCCUUGUGUGCAUGGCAUUGACCUUCUAUUUUAUGGUAAUGUUGUAUCUUUCGGGGUACAUUCAUUCCAUAUAGUUUACUUUGAAAAAAUUAGGGUGUUUAAAGCAGGCGAAAAGGCUUCGGAAUAUAUUAGCAUGGGAUAAUAGAAUACGAUCUAGGUCGUAAUUUGUUGGUUUCUACGGCUUAGGUAAUGAUUGACAGGGAUAGUUGGGGUCGCUCGUAUUGAGUUGUCAGAGGUGAAAUUCUAGGAUUAACUCAAGACGAACUAAUGCGAAAGCAUUCGGCAAGGAUGUUUUCAUUAAUCAAGAACGAAAGUUGGGGGAUCGAAGAUGAUCAGAUACCGUCGUAGUCUCAACUGUAAACUAUGUCGACCGAGGAUCCGGUAGCGUUACAUGGAUGACCUUCCGGGCACUCUGUGAGAAAUCAUAAGUAUUUGGAUUUCGGGGGGAGUAUGGUCGCAAGGCUGAAACUUAAAGGGAUUGACGGAAGGGCACCACCAGGAGUGGAAUCUGCGGCUUAAUUUGACCCAACACGGGAAAACUUACCAGGUCCGGACACAGUGAGGAUUGACAGAUUGAGAGCUCUUUCUUGAUUUUGUGGGUGGUGGUGCAUGGCCGUUUUUAGUUGGUGGAGUGAUUUGUCUGGUUAAUUCCGUUAACGAACGAGACCUUAACCUAUUAAAUAGCUGCGCGAACCCAGGUUCUUUAACCAUUCUCUCCUUCGGGGGGGCGUGGUAUCAUUAUUUUGCUUUUCACUUUCGGGUGGGAGGUAGGGUAGUGAUAGGGCCUGAGAUGAGUUGGUGAUUUGGCUUCUUAGAGGGACUACUUGCAUCCUUAGCAAGGGGAGGUUUGAGGCAAAAACAGGUCUGUGAUGCCCUUCGAUGUUCUGGGCUGCGCGCGCGUUACACUGGCGCAUGCAAAGAGUUUAAAAUUCCUGUCCCGAUGGGGUUGGGAAAUCUUUUUAAAGUGCGUCGUGAUGGGGAUAGAGCAUUGAAAUUAUUGCUCUUGAACGAGGAAUUCCUAGUAAUUGCAGGUCAUCAACCUGCAAUGAUUACGUCCCUGCCCUUUGUACACACCGCCCGUCGCUCCUACCGAUGGUUGAACCGAUGAGGACUCGGGAUGAUCUUAUUAGAUCGGUCGGUCGAAAGAUCGAUAGACUAUUAGGUCAGAACUUGUUCAAAUCUUUUUAACUAGAGGAAGGAGAAGUCGUAACAAGGUUUCCGUAGGUGAACCUGCGGAAG
Molecule: ribosomal RNA, 1286 nt
Filed under: metagenome
Description: SSU rRNA
Rfam family: Eukaryotic small subunit ribosomal RNA
Source: RNAcentral